This 428-nucleotide ribosomal RNA is filed under the name uncultured archaeon. RNAcentral describes it as "bacterial SSU rRNA". It matches the Rfam family "Archaeal small subunit ribosomal RNA", at positions 474 to 903 of the family's 1478-position model. The record is from RNAcentral.
UACCAGCUCCCCGAGUUGUAGGGACGAUUAUUGGGCUUAAAGCGUCCGUAGCUGGCUUAGCAAGUCUCCUGUUAAAUUCAGCGACCUAAUCGUUGAGCCGCGGGAGAUACUACUAGGCUAGGAGGCGGGAGAGGUCGACGGUACUUUCGGGGUAGGGGUGAAAUCCUAUAAUCCCGGGAGGACCACCAGUGGCGAAGGCUGUCGACUAGAACGCGCUCGACGGUGAGGGACGAAAGCUGGGGUAGCGAACCGGAUUAGAUACCCGGGUAGUCCCAGCUGUAAACUAUGCGGGCUAGGUGUUGGGGUGGCUACGGGCCACUUCAGUGCCGCAGGAAAGCCAUUAAGCCCGCCGCCUGGGGAGUACGGCCGCAAGGCUGAAACUUAAGGAAUUGGCGGGGGAGCACUACAAGGCGUGAAGCUUGCGGUUC